Molecule: ribosomal RNA, 1568 nt
Filed under: Gracilibacillus salitolerans
Lineage: Bacteria; Bacillati; Bacillota; Bacilli; Caryophanales; Bacillaceae
Description: bacterial SSU rRNA
Rfam family: Bacterial small subunit ribosomal RNA
Source: RNAcentral
UUUAUUGAGAGUUUGAUCUUGGCUCAGGACGAACGCUGGCGGCGUGCCUAAUACAUGCAAGUCGAGCGCGGGAAGCUUGUCUGAUCCCUUCGGGGUGAAGCAAGUGGAACGAGCGGCGGACGGGUGAGUAACACGUGGGCAACCUGCCUGUAAGACUGGGAUAACUCCGGGAAACCGGGGCUAAUACCGGAUAAUACUUUUCUUCGCAUGAAGGAAAGUUGAAAGAUGGCCUUUGGCUAUCACUUACAGAUGGGCCCGCGGCGCAUUAGCUAGUUGGUGAGGUAAGAGCUCACCAAGGCAACGAUGCGUAGCCGACCUGAGAGGGUGAUCGGCCACACUGGGACUGAGACACGGCCCAGACUCCUACGGGAGGCAGCAGUAGGGAAUCUUCCGCAAUGGACGAAAGUCUGACGGAGCAACGCCGCGUGAACGAAGAAGGUUUUCGGAUCGUAAAGUUCUGUUGUUAGGGAAGAACAAGUACCGUUCAAAUAGGGCGGUACCUUGACGGUACCUAUCGAGGAAGCCCCGGCUAACUACGUGCCAGCAGCCGCGGUAAUACGUAGGGGGCAAGCGUUGUCCGGAAUUAUUGGGCGUAAAGCGCGCGUAGGCGGUUUCUUAAGUCUGAUGUGAAAUCUUGCGGCUCAACCGCAAGCGGUCAUUGGAAACUGGGGAACUUGAGUGCAGAAGAGGAGAGCGGAAUUCCACGUGUAGCGGUGAAAUGCGUAGAUAUGUGGAGGAACACCAGUGGCGAAGGCGGCUCUCUGGUCUGUAACUGACGCUGAGGUGCGAAAGCGUGGGGAGCGAACAGGAUUAGAUACCCUGGUAGUCCACGCCGUAAACGAUGAGUGCUAGGUGUUAGGGGGUUUCCGCCCCUUAGUGCUGCAGUUAACGCAAUAAGCACUCCGCCUGGGGAGUACGGCCGCAAGGCUGAAACUCAAAAGAAUUGACGGGGGCCCGCACAAGCGGUGGAGCAUGUGGUUUAAUUCGAAGCAACGCGAAGAACCUUACCAGGUCUUGACAUCUUCGGAUGUCCCUAGAGAUAGGGAGUUCCCUUCGGGGACCGAAUGACAGGUGGUGCAUGGUUGUCGUCAGCUCGUGUCGUGAGAUGUUGGGUUAAGUCCCGCAACGAGCGCAACCCUUGAUCUUAGUUGCCAGCAUUAAGUUGGGCACUCUAAGGUGACUGCCGGUGACAAACCGGAGGAAGGUGGGGAUGACGUCAAAUCAUCAUGCCCCUUAUGACCUGGGCUACACACGUGCUACAAUGGAUGGAACAAAGGGCAGCGAAGCGGCAACGCAUUAGCAAAUCCCAUAAAUCCAUUCUCAGUUCGGAUUGCAGGCUGCAACUCGCCUGUAUGAAGCCGGAAUCGCUAGUAAUCGUGGAUCAGCAUGCCACGGUGAAUACGUUCCCGGGCCUUGUACACACCGCCCGUCACACCACGAGAGUUGGCAACACCCGAAGUCGGUGGGGUAACCUUUGGAGCCAGCCGCCGAAGGUGGGGCCAAUGAUUGGGGUGAAGUCGUAACAAGGUAGCCGUAUCGGAAGGUGCGGCUGGAUCACCUCCUUUCUA